Molecule: ribosomal RNA, 253 nt
Filed under: uncultured bacterium
Lineage: Bacteria
Description: partial 16S ribosomal RNA
Rfam family: Bacterial small subunit ribosomal RNA
Source: RNAcentral
GACGAAGGGGGCUAGCGUUGUUCGGAAUUACUGGGCGUAAAGCGCGUGUAGGCGGUUGUCCAAGUUGGAUGUGAAAGCCUUGAGCUUAACUCAAGAAAUGCAUUCAGGACUGGAUGACUAGAGGACCGGAGAGGGUAGUGGAAUUCCCAGUGUAGUGGUGAAAUACGUAGAGAUUGGGAAGAACACCAGUGGCGAAGGCGGCUAUCUGGACGGUUUCUGACGCUAAGACGCGAAAGCGUGGGGAGCAAACAGG